UACGGAGGAGGCAAGCGUUAUCCGGAAUUAUUGGGCGUAAAGCGUCCGCAGAUGGCUAUUCAAGUCUGCGGUCAAAGACUGGGGCUUAACCCUGGAAAGGCCGUGGAAACUGAAGAGCUAGAGUGCAGUAGGGGUAGAGGGAAUUCCCGGUGUAGCGGUGAAAUGCGUAGAGCUCGGGAAGAACAUCGGUGGCGAAAGCGCUCUGCUGGACUGCAACUGACACUCAGGGACGAAAGCUAGGGGAGCGAAUGGG
Molecule: ribosomal RNA, 253 nt
Filed under: uncultured bacterium
Lineage: Bacteria
Description: partial 16S ribosomal RNA
Rfam family: Bacterial small subunit ribosomal RNA
Source: RNAcentral